Schistosoma rodhaini is the source of this 45-nucleotide non-coding RNA. The record is from Rfam. Lineage: Eukaryota; Metazoa; Platyhelminthes; Trematoda; Strigeidida; Schistosomatidae.
AUCCAGUUGACCAGUCCGGAAUAGGAUGAAACGCGUGUCUUGGAU